AAUAGAGUGGCUGAUAAAAGCAUUAAACUGUAAAUUUAAUUAUGGAAAUUAUUUCUUUCUGUUA
RNAcentral lists this transfer RNA (64 nucleotides) under Gomphiocephalus hodgsoni. Its description in RNAcentral is "tRNA-Tyr". It matches the Rfam family "tRNA". Rfam says of the family: Transfer RNA (tRNA) molecules are approximately 80 nucleotides in length. Their secondary structure includes four short double-helical elements and three loops (D, anti-codon, and T loops). Lineage: Eukaryota; Metazoa; Arthropoda; Collembola; Poduromorpha; Hypogastruridae. The record is from RNAcentral.